GAAAAGAUUCAAACUCUUUAAAAAUGUAUCUUUAUAAUUGAAUCUGCCAGGGGAAGGAGGACACUCCAGAAAAGGGUAUAUAGUGCAUGACACCGGAACACUGUCUUCAUCAGCGCUUUAUCACAUUAGAAAUGCUUCUUGCGGAGCAGAAGCAGCUCAUUAUCUGUGUGACGAACACAAGUUCACUGCAGAUGGGCGGUUUUUGACUUGACUGUGCUGCUUUGACAUUUGCAACACAAAAAAUGACCUGAGAAACAUUUCCAACCUCAAAGCCACAAAAUUUAGACAACAUCAGCUUGACUGUUCCACUAGCUUUAUUCAAGUUUGUCGAACUGAUCUUCUAGGAAUAGAAUCACUUUACUCCUGCAACACUUGUUUUGCAGCUGCUGCCGUGCAAGAAAAAGCCCCACUGCGCCACAGUGCAGCACACCUGCAUGGAGCAGCAGCUGAGUGAUUGCAUGAAUACUUAUGACACUUCCUGUAGAGGAGAAGUAUCUGCAGUAGAAUAAAAAAAAAUCCUGAGCAUGAAGUUCCUCUUUGCUAAAAGCUCAUGAGAAAAAUAUUGUUAAAAAACAACAAAGCUUUGGUAUUGAGUCUCCAUUUGGGAACCACAAGCCAAAACACAUUACUUCAUGAGGAGUGGAUCUAGUUUUACUGGAUGUGAGAGGUCAGCUGGUCUGCGGCAGUCUUUAAUGGCACUGCCACAUAUCGACAAAAGCUCAGUUUGUUUGUGUCAUGGCUGCUGACGAACUCGGCCCUGACAAAGAGUCAGGAAAUGAUCAAUACCACUAAAGGGUGUAGUGUGAGACCAGACUGAUAGUGGGGGGAGCCACAUCCAGAGACCCUCAGUCAUAUUUCUCCUUCCACGGUGUGGAUUUGUGGGAAAUCCUCUGCCGUCUCCUCUCCAAGAAUCACGUCCUAACAACCAGAGUGUGUCAUCUUUACGAGCUGCACACACUCUGCUUUAAAGGCAUCCGCACUGUUAGGAUGCUCAAAAAAAGAAGGGGGUUGCGCCGCAGCUUGCAGCCGCCUUUGGUUUGCUCCCAAUUGUGAGUGUGUGUGUGUGAUGAUGACAAUGAAGCACAUCUGCAAGGAGAAAUUACUCCAUUUUUAUGUGUACAAUCUAUUAAAACAAAUCUAUUUUAUGAGAUGUAUGUCAUAUUUACUGUACAAUUGUUUUACAUAAGAAAUUUAAGCCUGUUCUUCUAUUUCAGAGAGAAAAUGAAAAAUUGAAUGAGUAUCUUAUCAUUUGAAUGAACUCAUUGGGUAA
Non-coding RNA from Oryzias latipes (Japanese medaka), 1270 nucleotides. The record is from RefSeq and is a predicted model, not a curated record. NCBI's taxonomy places the organism in Eukaryota, Metazoa, Chordata, Actinopteri, Beloniformes, Adrianichthyidae.